GACGAACGCUGGCGGCGUGCUUAACACAUGCAAGUCGAACGGAAAGGCCCUGCUUUUGUGGGGUGCUCGAGUGGCGAACGGGUGAGUAACACGUGAGUAACCUGCCCUUGACUUUGGGAUAACUUCAGGAAACUGGGGCUAAUACCUGAUAGGAGCUCCUGCUGCAUGGUGGGGGUUGGAAAGUUUGGGCGGUUGGGGAUGGACUCGGGGCUUAUCAGCUUGUUGGUGGGGGAGUGGCUUACCAAGGGUUUGGAGGGUAGUCGGCCUGGGAGGGUGAUCAGCCACAUUGGGACUGAGAGACGGCCCAGAGUCCUACGGGAGGCAGCAGUGGGGAAUAUUGCACAAUGGGCGGAAGCGUGAUGCAGAAACGCUGCGUGUGGGAUGACGGCCUUCGGGUGGUAAACCGCUUUAGCUUGUGACGAAGCGUGAGUGACGGUAAUGGGUAAAGAAGCACCGGCUAACUACGUG
This 468-nucleotide ribosomal RNA is filed under the name uncultured bacterium. Its description in RNAcentral is "partial 16S ribosomal RNA". It matches the Rfam family "Bacterial small subunit ribosomal RNA", at positions 28 to 507 of the family's 1533-position model. The record is from RNAcentral.